AGACCACCUGCACCAUCUCUUGCUGGGUGAGAGCCACUCUCUGCAGACGUAGUCACAGCUGGUAUUUCACCAGCAGAUGCCAUGAUUCAAUUCCACCAUAAUGACAUUGGGUAGUCUUUGUCAACUCUCCUGCUUGUCAGAAGGAUGUAAAAACACUUCAGAAACAUACUGGAAAUCUUCAUGAGUAGGUCACAUGAUGAUCAACUCUGUGGUUGGAAGUCAGGAAUCUUCAAAGGAGUGGGAUGAUUCUGCAAGAACUCCCACAUUCUUAGUGAUUGCACAGUACAGUCUGAUCAACCCUCAUGAAAAGGACAGCUGCUUCAUCUCGAUAAACCCAUCGUCAUAAAUCACACGAUGGAAUAUUACACAGCAAUGACAAGGAAUGAACAACGGGCCAUAAAACCACAUGAGUAAAGUUCAAAAACAUUCUGUGGAGUUGAAAAGUACGUGGUGUAGGAGUCAAUUUAUGAAAUUCAAGAACAUGUAGAGCAUGGUAUGACAGAAGUCAG
Molecule: long non-coding RNA, 509 nt
Filed under: Pan troglodytes (chimpanzee)
Lineage: Eukaryota; Metazoa; Chordata; Mammalia; Primates; Hominidae
Description: long non-coding RNA NONPTRT016155
Source: RNAcentral